RNAcentral lists this transfer RNA (91 nucleotides) under Delitschia confertaspora ATCC 74209. It matches the Rfam family "tRNA". From Rfam's summary of the family: Transfer RNA (tRNA) molecules are approximately 80 nucleotides in length. Their secondary structure includes four short double-helical elements and three loops (D, anti-codon, and T loops). Further hydrogen bonds mediate the characteristic L-shaped molecular structure. tRNAs have two regions of fundamental functional importance: the anti-codon, which is responsible for specific mRNA codon recognition, and the 3' end, to which the tRNAs corresponding amino acid is attached (by aminoacyl-tRNA synthetases). tRNAs cope with the degeneracy of the genetic code in two manners: having more than one tRNA (with a specific anti-codon) for a particular amino acid; and 'wobble' base-pairing, i.e. permitting non-standard base-pairing at the 3rd anti-codon position. The record is from Rfam by way of RNAcentral. Lineage: Eukaryota; Fungi; Ascomycota; Dothideomycetes; Pleosporales; Delitschiaceae.
UCUUCCUUGGUCUAGUGGUCAUGAUUUCCGCUUGUCAAUCUGAUUAGGAUAACAAGCGCGGGAGACCGGGGUUCGAUUCCCCGAGGGAGAG